This 80-nucleotide microRNA precursor is filed under the name Medicago truncatula (barrel medic). Its description in RNAcentral is "MIR5269 microRNA precursor family". It matches the Rfam family "MIR5269 microRNA precursor family". Lineage: Eukaryota; Viridiplantae; Streptophyta; Magnoliopsida; Fabales; Fabaceae. The record is from Rfam by way of RNAcentral.
UUGGGUGAAAUUAAUGUGGGUCCUACACUUUGGAAAUGGGUCCCACUCAAAGUGGUUGGACCCAUGUUCAUUUCACCUAA